RNAcentral lists this ribosomal RNA (508 nucleotides) under uncultured Glomeraceae. RNAcentral's name for it is "SSU rRNA". It matches the Rfam family "Eukaryotic small subunit ribosomal RNA", at positions 569 to 1078 of the family's 1831-position model. The record is from RNAcentral. Lineage: Eukaryota; Fungi; Glomeromycota; Glomeromycetes; Glomerales; Glomeraceae.
AGCAGCCGCGGUAAUUCCAGCUCCAAUAGCGUAUAUUAAAGUUGUUGCAGUUAAAAAGCUCGUAGUUGAAUUUCGGGAUCAAUAUUUCGGUCAUGCCGUUGGUAUGCACUGUUAUCAUUGAUUUCUCACCUUCUAAAGAACCGUAAUGCCAUUAAUUUGGUGUUACGGGGAAUUAGGACUGUUACCUUGAAAAAUUAGAGUGUUUAAAGCAGGCUCACGCUUGAAUACAUCAGCAUGGAAUAAUGAAAUAGGACAUCCGAUUCUAUUUUGUUGGUUUCUAGGAUCGAUGUAAUGAUUAAUAGGGAUAGUUGGGGGCAUUAGUAUUCAAUUGUCAGAGGUGAAAUUCUUGGAUUUAUUGAAGACUAACUACUGCGAAAGCAUUUGCCAAGGAUGUUUUCAUUAAUCAAGAACGAAAGUUAGGGGAUCGAAGACGAUCAGAUACCGUCGUAGUCUUAACCAUAAACUAUGCCGACUAGGGAUCGGAUGAUGUUAAUUUUUUAAUGACUCA